UAAUUUCGGAGUUGUGCUGGAGAGUGGCUCACUCGUAGACAAAUCGCUGAGAUUGCAAUACAUCGUAACUGAGAUUGGAUUCCAUGACGUCUGACGCCGAAUCAUGAAGUCAAAAAUGUUGAGUAUGGGAAGACACAAUAAGUCGAACGUGUGCAGAUUUCGAAAAACUUACAGACAAAGCUCUGUGGGUUCAAACUGUAGCGGCAAAGCUAUAUGAGUAAACUAAACCACAGAGCUUAGCAAAACACGUUUCAUUUCAACGGUUAAUCUUGACCAACUAAACUUCCACAUGUCAGUGUUCCACUGUUGAAUUCUUUUUCGUUUUGAUAAGCUUUUCACUGAUUUCAAUGGAUUCGUUCUAAAGCAAACUAGUCAACCACAUGCAGGAAUGGAAAUUCUAUAUGUAUAAAUAAAUUAGUACAGAAAGAAAGAGAGAACUGUUGACCCUACAUCCCCAAUUGAUAUUGCCACACCCCACAUGACACCCUCCCUGUAGACACACCACAUGACACCCUCCCUGUAGACACACCACAUGACACCCUCCCUGU
RNAcentral lists this long non-coding RNA (548 nucleotides) under Physcomitrium patens. Its description in RNAcentral is "long non-coding RNA (PPAT_LNC001759)". The record is from RNAcentral. Lineage: Eukaryota; Viridiplantae; Streptophyta; Bryopsida; Funariales; Funariaceae.